Molecule: long non-coding RNA, 5359 nt
Organism: Sarcophilus harrisii (Tasmanian devil)
Lineage: Eukaryota; Metazoa; Chordata; Mammalia; Dasyuromorphia; Dasyuridae
Exons: 3
Source: RefSeq, a predicted model, not a curated record
UUGGGAUAUAAGCCCAAUAGUAACACUGCCGAAUCAAAGGGUAUGCACCGUUUGAUAACUAUAAAGAGCAUACAUGCUACAAGUUUUUAAAGGAAUAGGUAGCACUGUUUCCCUAGAAAGAGGUAAUUUCACUGGGUUCAUGGAUUGUUUAGUUUUCAUUUUGGAUCCCAAUGACUAUUCCAAGAAUUUAUAUUUUCUAUAUAUUUAAUAAUUGGUUGUGGAAUUGAAAUAUGAACAAAGAUAACAUGUUAAUAGAUAGUAACAUAUAGGUCUAAAAUCAUGUUCAAAAACUCAAUUUUAAAAAUAUAGGAUAAGAGAGUCAUGAUUAAACAUUUAUAAUAUUUUAGUUCAUUAAAUAUUAGUGGAUAUGUUAACUGACAUAUAUUCAUUUUUAUUGAACUCUAUUCAGGUAAAUUUAUUCUACCAUAUUACAUUUGGAAGAAAGAUAAACAGUUCAAAUCCAGACUUAGCCAUUUAUUAACAGUGUAAUAUUGUGAGCAAAUCACAUAAGUUGUCUCAGCCUCUGUUCCUUCAUAUAUACAAUAGAGAAAAUGAUAGCACUUACUUUCUAGGAUUACUAUGAAGAUAAAAUGAGAUAAUAUUUGUAAAGAUCUUUGUGAGCUUUUAAAACAUUGUAAAUGUUAUUAUAAUAAUGAGAAUUGUUGUUGGCCAAAAAAAUAAUUUGUGGAACAAUUUGGCUUCCAUUUAAUACUGAAGGUAUCUAAAAUUAUCUCUCAAAGACUUCAGGUGAAGAAACAAUGAAAUUAUGAAAUGAUUAAUGGCAAGUAAGUGGAUAACAUUCAGUCUAAAAGAUAUAGCUGCUUCAAGCUUUAUUUAGAAAAAUUAAGAAAAUUUCCAUCUAAGAAGUACGUUGAACAAAUCAAAGUCAUAAAAUUACUGUAUUUUAUAGAAUUAAUCAAGAAACAUUACUUUGAUGAUUCAUUAAGGUCUAAUGACUACCCAAAAGCUUAAAAAGAACACAAGAAUAAAGUUAAAUAAUUAUAAUCCAGAACCUAUAAUAUAGAAUUAUAUGUAAUUAUGGUGUAAAGAAGCUAGCAGUAUGAUACUUAGAGAAUUUUUUAUUGUUGAAAGACACCUCAAAUUUCAUCUCCAUUCUUAGAAAAGACUCCUAGAGUCUUUCCAGAAUGGAAUUUGCUCGUUUCAGUUAUAAAAGACUGAUAUGAGUUUUUUUUUUUUCAUUUUUUCCCUGGAUAAAUGAAUUAAAUUUUUAAGAUUUCCUUUAUGGUCUUAUUUUAAAAUAGUACUUUGAGUAGAAGGUCUGAAAAAAACAAACUUUUCAGACCUAAAACAAUUUUGAUUUCAUGAUUAUACAACAUUGUGACAUGAUAGUUGUCCCAUAAAUACCAAGGACUCAUAUAUCAAAAAGCUUUGUUGUGUAAUGUCCUAUUAAAUAAUGAAACUACAUCUGCAUAUGUGAAGAAGCCUACAAUUUAAAUUUUACUUCAAUGUCAAUUUAAGUAUCCUUCCCACACCGAGUUUAUGGUUUGUACAAAUUAUACCAUCGAUGUAUUGACUAGUAUAAUGGUAAUAUUGUGUCAUUAUUUCCUAAUGUCAAUCAUAUUUCUUGAAUACACAGUAAAGAAAGUCAAAAUAAAUAUUUGCAUUUAUAAUGGCUAAAAUGUUUUAGAGAUAUACAGUUGUUAUCUUCUUGUAAUGAAGAAUAGAUGUAAAGGAUCCUUAGACACACUUUAUACUUAGGUGCAGAUUUGGCUUUCCCUAAAUUUAUGUAAAAUGUAACUGUUCACAAAUCAAUUUUUUAAAUUGUAAUUUACCCUGUGUUCACAACUUCAAAGAAGGACAAUUAUCAAGGAAGACGAGAAAUUUCAGUUUCUCUAACUUAACAUUAAUUAUAUUCAGCAAAUUAAGCAAAAAUUUCAGAACAUCCUUAAAAAUUAAAGUUGGUAUUACUUGAUAUGAAAAUGGGAGCAUGAGACAUGGAAAGAAUAACUAGAAUCAGAAAAUUGUUUUUCAUGUUUCCUUUUCUCUGUGAUUUUAUAAACAUUAUUGACUGUGUUUCAAAUAUCUCCGCCAGUCAAUAAACAUUUGUUAAAUAAUUUAUGUAUCAGGUACCACACUAAAUGCUGAGAAUUUUUUUUAAAAGGGCCAAAAAUAGUUCUAGCUCUCAAGGAACUGAUGAACCAAAGUGAUAAAAGGGCAGACAGAUUCAAACAACUGCAUAUAAACAAGAAUUAUAUAGGAUGAACUGUCUAUAAUCAAGAGAUGAAAGAAUAAUAAGGGCAUGGUUUCCAGUAGAAAAUGGAAUUUUAGCUAGCACUUAGAAAUCAAAAGGCAAGGAUGAGUAUGAGAGCAUCCCAAACAUGGGGAAGAGCAAGGUAAACAUAUUUGAAGUCAAGAAAUUGAAUGUCUUUUUUUGAGGAGCAGAAAAGAGGUAAGUGUCACUGAUUUAGAGAGUAUAUAUUAAGGUGUAGGAUGGAAGAAGAAUAAAAGGUAGGAACUGGUUAUGGCAGAAUUUUUUAAAUGUACAAUUCAUGGAAAUUUUAAUUCAUGGAGGGAACUCAUUGUAAAGAAUAUUUUCUUUGAAAAAAAAAAAAGUAAAAUAAGAGCUAAAUACUCCUGCCUUUUCUUCAUCAGCUAUUACUAUUAUCUGAGUUACUAUGAGUAUUAGUCGUUUUCAUCCAUUUCUAUCAUUUGUUCCAUAGAAACUUUUGUUUAGAAUUUCAUUAUUACCAUAUCUCUUUGUCUUUGAAGAAUUUAAAACUAUGGAAUCUUAAGUUUAUUUUCUUUAAAUUAUUUGAAAUCCAGAGUGGAUGUCAGAAUAGCCGUGGCCUAACUGUACUCUAUUAUAAAUUUUAAAAUAGAUGUCUCAUUUCUCCCCCAAAAUUCCCCAAGCAAGCAAUUCAUUAACUUUGGUCAGAAUUGGGACCCUAAACAAAAACAACUAUCCCCCAUCUGUUCUUCUUUUGAAAAAUCAAAAUUGUCACUAGGUCAAGAAGGAAUCAAGAUUUCUGCUUUUGGCAGAAAUAGUGGAAAGGAAAUGAUGAAUUUUAAAUCUAAUGAGAUAAUAACAAUUGUAGGAAAGGAAGAAGUGAGGUAGAAAUAUACAUAUAUAUAUAUAUAUAUAUAUAUAUAUAUGAAUAAAUUCAUUAAUCAACUUCAAAGUAUCUUAGAUUUUUGAACAUUGCAUGGAAGCCAUUGUUACCAAAGAAAAUACAUUUAAUAGACAGCUAAAAGAAUCAGCCAUGCUCUUUAGCUACACACACACACACACACACACACAUGCAUAUGUGGACACAUGUGCAUAAAUACAUAAACAAAAAGUACAUGGAUAUAAAUAUGUGCCCACUGCAUACAUGUAUAUUGUGGAUAUUCAUGAAUUUAUUUACAUUCAUGUAUACAUGUAUAUUCAUGCAUGUAUGUUUAUAUGUAGGUAUACACAUGCAUUCAUUGCUGCAACAAUAUUGCGCCAAAGAAGAACUUCUCAAUAAAAGAAAAAAGGUUUCCAGACCCCAUAAUAAGAGAAAGUAUGACUGUCUUUGUCAAACAUGUAUCCUCCAUGUGUUUUACUCUCAUUUUACUCUAAGAAUAAGCCUAUUCUUUCCAUGGAUGAUUUACAUACUUAUGGGAGGAAAAAUCUUGAAAUUUGGAGGUUGUGUUAUAUUUAUAUUAUUCUUAUUAACCACCCUACUCAGAAAAUAAUGAUACUAAAACAUGACAGAGAAAUUAAAGAAAUAAAUAUUGGUCUAGGAGUGAGUCAUAUAUAGAAAUCAGAUUAUUCAGGAGAAAGAGAAAAAUCUGUCAUAUUAGAGUUCAAAGGGGAAAAAAAAAUUAAGUCCAAAGGCAAAAAAUUUAGAGAAAAUCUAUUUCAUUUAUUUAGCUAAGAGAAAGAAGAAUCAUCUGACAUGUAAAAAAUAACCAAAAAGGAGAAAGAAGAAUCCUGAGAAAACCCUGUUUCAUCAAAGAAAGGCAAGACUUUUUAGAGGUCAACAAACUUCCUUUAGAUAUUUGGCACAAUUUUGUAAUAUUCAUUGUCCCCUAUCUAUUUUGUUGGUAUUGUAUUAUAAUAAUAUCAGUGCAUUAUUAUUCUAAGCAAAAUAAAAUUUGAAAAACAAAAUGUGAUUCCAAAAAAUCAGGUAGUAGGAUACAAAAUAAUAAAAAUAAAAAAAACAAAUUAUUGCUCUAUUUUCUCCUGUCGUAUUAUAUAGUUACUCAUCCUUUCAACAUCAGAUAUAACUUACCAGUUUAUGCUUAUAUUCCAUCACUGAGCUUUAUAAAUACUCUACAUAACAAUGUAUAUAAUGAAUAACAAUGCAUAUAAUGAAUUUAUCUAAUAAAUAUAUUCCAUACUAUUAUAUGGGGAAUUAAAGUUCUACCUUCUAUGUUUCAGACAUGCUGCUUAAUGAUAUAAAGAAAGGGGGGAAAAUAAUACUUGCCCUGAAUGAGUUUACUAUGCUAAUAAAGGAGACAAUAUACAAAAAAGAAAAGCAUACACAACUGUAUAAUCAAGAUAUAUUCUAGAUUAAUUGAAUUAAUUGUUGGGCAGGAUAUCAAGAGGAUUCUCAUUAAUGUAUAAAUUGAAGUAGAUGACAUCUAAAAUCCCUUUCUAUUCUGAAAUUCUACAAAAGCACAUGAUAACCUCAAUCUGCCACUGUUUUGGAUUAGGUUAAAAUGGUUACAUCUAACAGAAUGUAAAAUUCAUAGCAAGAAAAAUUUAUGUCUAUCACAAUUCCAUUACUUCCUUUCAAUUUUCUUCCCCUUCUGGGUUGAGUGAGAUACUGCCUUCCUGAUAUAAGUAUAUACCACCAAUGCAACUCUCACAGAACUUUGCUGUUUCUUUCAGCAUAGUUGCAUCUAAGACAUUUAUUAAUAUUAAUAAUAUCCCACCUGAGGAAUGUUUAAAUUGGGGGAUAUUCACAUUGAUUAGAUCAUUCUGGAGGAAUGAAGUAUCUUUCAGAUACAAUGGAAUGCAUUUCUCAUGUUGGCAUAUAGAGUUAAUGUUAGAAAGUAGGAUGGAUAUUUUUGGGAGAAAAGUCUUUUUUGGGAGGAAACUAUACUAUAUAAAUAGCCACUUCUUCAGUUGACUCCUAAACAAAUCUUCUGGGUUACUUUAUUUAUUGAAUACUCAAUUACUAAAAUGAAUAUUCAAGAUCAUCUUGAGUUAAAUUAUAUAAACAUUAUUUAGUUAUGUUGUUUGACAACAGGAGUAAUGUGCAUAAAUUAGGAAAUAUCAUUUUUACCUUUUUUGUCUCUUCAGGUAUUAGCACAAUACUUGGUACUUUAAGCAUAUACCCUACAGUCUCAUCCAAAUCAUCUGUCUUGGUCCUAUCCAAUCCUAUCCAAUUUAGAAUAAGAUGGUCAUGCCCUCCCUGACUUCUCAAGG